RNAcentral lists this long non-coding RNA (204 nucleotides) under Elaeis guineensis (African oil palm). RNAcentral describes it as "long non-coding RNA (EGUI_LNC002871)". The record is from RNAcentral. Lineage: Eukaryota; Viridiplantae; Streptophyta; Magnoliopsida; Arecales; Arecaceae.
UAUCUUUUUCAUUGCCUUGGACUUCAAUCUGGACUUUCCUUUAUCACCAUGAUCUCUCUCCAUGGGUCUUCCUUGUGCUACCAUUGCAUCAGCUGAUGAACUUUGACUUGAUUUAUGCCUUAGUUCUUCAGUAAAAAGCGAUACUACAAUAAAUUCCAUCUCAAGAGACUUCACAUGGCUAAGAUUUAUGAUUAGAUUAUUCCA